GUGCCAGCCGCCGCGGUAAUACGGAGGGGGCUAGCGUUGUUCGGAAUUACUGGGCGUAAAGCGUACGUAGGCGGCUUUGUAAGUUAGAGGUGAAAGCCCGGGGCUCAACCCCGGAAUUGCCUUUAAGACUGCAUCGCUUGAACGUCGGAGAGGUGAGUGGAAUUCCGAGUGUAGAGGUGAAAUUCGUAGAUAUUCGGAAGAACACCAGUGGCGAAGGCGGCUCACUGGACGACUGUUGACGCUGAGGUACGAAAGCGUGGGGAGCAAACAGGAUUAGAAACCCGAGUAGUCC
RNAcentral lists this ribosomal RNA (292 nucleotides) under uncultured bacterium. RNAcentral describes it as "partial 16S ribosomal RNA". It matches the Rfam family "Bacterial small subunit ribosomal RNA", at positions 505 to 796 of the family's 1533-position model. The record is from RNAcentral.